RNAcentral lists this ribosomal RNA (292 nucleotides) under uncultured Planctomycetota bacterium. RNAcentral describes it as "uncultured planctomycete partial 16S ribosomal RNA". Lineage: Bacteria; Pseudomonadati; Planctomycetota. The record is from RNAcentral.
GGACUACCAGGGUAUCUAAUCCCGUUUGCUCCCCUGGCUUUCGCGCCUCAGCGUUAGAAGAGGUCCAGUGGGUCGCUUUCGCCACCGGCGUUCCUUCUGAUAUCAACGCAUUUCACCGCUCCACCAGAAGUUCCACCCACCCCUACCUCCCUCGAGUUCGCCAGUAUCAAAGGCACUUCUACAGUUGAGCUGCAGGAUUUCACCCCUGACUUGGCAAACCGCCUACGCGCCCUUUAAGCCCAGUGAUUCCGAACAACGUUCGCACGGUUCGUCUUACCGCGGCUGCUGGCAC